AAAGGCUUACCAAGGCGAUGAUGCAUAGCCGAGUUGAGAGACUGAUCGGCCACAUUGGGACUGAGACACGGCCCAAACUCCUACGGGAGGCAGCAGUAGGGAAUCUUCCACAAUGGACGCAAGUCUGAUGGAGCAACGCCGCGUGAGUGAAGAAGGUUUUCGGAUCGUAAAGCUCUGUUGUUGGUGAAGAAGGAUAGAGGUAGUAACUGGCCUUUAUUUGACGGUAAUCAACCAGAAAGUCACGGCUAACUACGUGCCAGCAGCCGCGGUAAUACGUAGGUGGCAAGCGUUGUCCGGAUUUAUUGGGCGUAAAGCGAGCGCAGGCGGAAGAAUAAGUCUGAUGUGAAAGCCCUCGGCUUAACCGAGGAACUGCAUCGGAAACUGUUUUUCUUGAGUGCAGAAGAGGAGAGUGGAACUCCAUGUGUAGCGGUGGAAUGCGUAGAUAUAUGGAAGAACACCAGUGGCGAAGGCGGCUCUCUGGUCUGCAACUGACGCUGAGGCUCGAAAGCAUGGGUAGCGAACAGGAUUAGAUACCCUGGUAGUCCAUGCCGUAAACGAUGAGUGCUAAGUGUUGGGAGGUUUCCGCCUCUCAGUGCUGCAGCUAACGCA
This 609-nucleotide ribosomal RNA is filed under the name uncultured bacterium. RNAcentral's name for it is "bacterial SSU rRNA". It matches the Rfam family "Bacterial small subunit ribosomal RNA", at positions 259 to 859 of the family's 1533-position model. The record is from RNAcentral.